This 485-nucleotide ribosomal RNA is filed under the name uncultured bacterium. RNAcentral describes it as "bacterial SSU rRNA". It matches the Rfam family "Bacterial small subunit ribosomal RNA", at positions 30 to 526 of the family's 1533-position model. The record is from RNAcentral.
AUUGAACGCUGGCGGCAUGCCUAACACAUGCAAGUCGAACGGUAACAGAACCAGCUUGCUGGUUGCUGACGAGUGGCGGACGGGUGAGGAAUAUAUAGGAACUUGCCUAGUAGCGGGGGAUAACCUGUGGAAACGCAGGCUAAUACCGCAUACGCUCUACGGAGGAAAGCAGGGGAUCUUCGGACCUUGCGCUAUUAGAUAGGCCUAUAUUGGAUUAGCUUGUUGGUGAGGUAAUGGCUUACCAAGGCAACGAUCCAUAGCUGGUUUGAGAGAAUGAUCAGCCACACUGGGACUGAGACACGGCCCAAACUCCUACGGGAGGCAGCAGUGGGGAAUCUUCUGCAAUGGGCGCAAGCCUGACAGAGCGGCGUCAUGUGAAGGAAGAAGGCCUGAAAUAGGUUGUAAACUUCUUUUACUGAGUAAUGAAUACUGACAACGCAGUAAAAAAGUAUCGGCUAACUCCGUGCCAGCCGCCGCCGUAAAAC